This is a long non-coding RNA of Peromyscus leucopus (white-footed mouse), 357 nucleotides long. RefSeq lists it as uncharacterized. The record is from RefSeq and is a predicted model, not a curated record. The transcript has 2 exons. NCBI's taxonomy places the organism in Eukaryota, Metazoa, Chordata, Mammalia, Rodentia, Cricetidae.
AACUGACUGGUUUCUCUACGCUCCUGUAGUGCAACCAGUGCACUGGAUUGUUUGUUUGUUUUUAUUGUUGUUUUUCAUGGCUGUGACCAAAUUCCAGACAAGAACCAACUCUAAAGAAGAAGGAUUUAUCCCUGCUCAGGCUUUUCAAGAGACAGUGAAGCCAUGAUGGUCAUAUUCAGACAGAGGGAUGCAUUUUUGUAUAAUGAAUAAUACUGGUCACAUGCUAUCUGCACAGAAGUGAAUUAGAGCAGAAGAAAAUGACCAAAGUGCAGUACCAGCAGGUAUGAGAAGUUGUGAUCAAACCCUCAUCGGAUACAUCCAUACCACCAAAGUUUCAAAUAAACAGGAACAAAUCCA